GUGCCAGCAGCCGCGGUAAUACGUAGGUGGCAAGCGUUGUCCGGAUUUAUUGGGCGUAAAGCGAGCGCAGGCGGUUUCUUAAGUCUGAUGUGAAAGCCUUCGGCUCAACCGAAGAAGUGCAUCGGAAACUGGGAAACUUGAGUGCAGAAGAGGACAGUGGAACUCCAUGUGUAGCGGUGAAAUGCGUAGAUAUAUGGAAGAACACCAGUGGCGAAGGCGGCUGUCUGGUCUGUAACUGACGCUGAGGCUCGAAAGCAUGGGUAGCAAACAGGAUUAGAUACCCUGGUAGUCCAUGCCGUAAACGAUGAGUGCUAGGUGUUGGAGGGUUUCCGCCCUUCAGUGCCGCAGCUAACGCAUUAAGCACUCCGCCUGGGGAGUACGACCGCAAGGUUGAAACUCAAAGGAAUUGACGGGGGCCCGCACAAGCGGUGGAGCAUGUGGUUUAAUUCGAAGCAACGCGAAGAACCUUACCAGGUCUUGACAUCCUUUGACCACUCUAGAGAUAGAGCUUUCCCUUCGGGGACAAAGUGACAGGUGGUGCAUGGUUGUCGUCAGCUCGUGUCGUGAGAUGUUGGGUUAAGUCCCGCAACGAGCGCAACCCUUAUUACUAGUUGUCAGCAUUUAGUUGGGCACUCUAGUGAGACUGCCGGUGACAAACCGGAGGAAGGUGGGGACGACGUCAAAUCAUCAUGCCCCUUAUGACCUGGGCUACACACGUGCUACAAUGGAUGGUACAACGAGUCGCGAGACCGCGAGGUUUAGCUAAUCUCUUAAAACCAUUCUCAGUUCGGAUUGUAGGCUGCAACUCGCCUACAUGAAGCCGGAAUCGCUAGUAAUCGCGGAUCAGCAUGCCGCGGUGAAUACGUUCCCGGGCCUUGUACACACCGCCCGU
This 892-nucleotide ribosomal RNA is filed under the name uncultured bacterium. Its description in RNAcentral is "bacterial SSU rRNA". It matches the Rfam family "Bacterial small subunit ribosomal RNA", at positions 505 to 1397 of the family's 1533-position model. The record is from RNAcentral.